GGCAGCUGCGAAAGCCCGUGUUUCCAGCCCUGUUUUUCCGUGGGAGAGACACGCAGGGCUGCAGGCGAGGCGUGCUGAGCGUUCGGUCAGCUGCUGGUUAAAAGUUCAUGCAAACCCUUCGCCGAAAAUUAGUAGGUACCUGCGAACUGGGCUGCCAGUAAGAAGGGGAAGGUGUUCCCUCUCCGGGACGUCAGGAACACAGCAAGGGAAGAUUCUCUAUUGCCUUGAUACAUCACAGACAUGAGAGAGCAGAGCCAAUGGAGUAAAAGAAGAGAAUGAAUGAAGAAUAUAAAGAUUAAUUUUGAAAUCUACAUCUACCUGGCUACACCUUACACUUCUGGACUUUCAGUGUUAUGCCACUAGUAUCAUGCGCUUACUGGUUUUCCUACUGAGUGUCUUCAACUGCCUCUGAAGAAAGAGUUUAAGUCAUAGGCAGCGCUGUUGACUGUGUGUUCUCCAACGCACAGCAUCACCCACCUCCCCAGGGGAGCUGCUUCCUUCCAGCUAUCAGAACCACACACCUCCACAGAGGGCUCAAGGCGCUUGGUGCUGGGCUGCAGUCUGAAUUUUCAGCUUGAAGAAAAAUGAAACCUAUGAAAAAUAGAUACAGAGAACUGUAACUUUCCUCUAGAUGGAGGACAGGAAGAAUGGAAACACACUGUGCUUUACAGGAGCUCUUUUCAGCUGUGGUUAAGACUAGCCUGUGGAAGCAUAGGAACUGUGACAUCCCUGAUUUGGGAUUGAAAGAAAGCUCAGGAGAAGUGUCAUGCAGUGCAUGCUCUGUUCUUCUGCUCUUCCCCAGUGUGAUCACUGUAAGACACAAAAUAUGGACUAGGUAGACUUUGGUGUGACUCUUGUUCUUAUAAGUAUUUUCUGACUUUUUUCUGUCACUUGAUUUGUAUUCCAUUUCAGUAGUGAGGCCUCUAAGCUCAGCGACUGUGCAUGUUUUUUGACAAUACCUAGCAUAAUGGGGCAUUGACUUUGCUGACUCUUGGUGCUGCUCUGUAAAAAUAACAAUAACAUGAUUAAUAACAUAUACUACAUUAUUUUCCACUUCUGAAGCAAAACCAUAGAGGGUUUAUUGAUCAGUUCAAGGAAAUAAAAAUCAAAUGCCAUGAAAGUGAUGGGAGUGAAAUUAAAGAGAAAGCUCAAACACUAAAUCAGUGUUCAGGUAAAUAUGUGAUCUUUUGCAAGUUUACUGAACCUAAAAUAAGCAAGGAUAUUUGGGCUCCACUGUAUAUACACCCAUAAUACCUACACCUGUAUUUAUGUUUUUAAUGCUGUUAUUUUAGUAAGCCCAGAUCCUUCAACCAGAUCAUGAUGUGCUAAUGUCCUCAGAUCUUUAGUUAACAUGGUAGUUUUUAUAACUGUGUAAUGUGAAAAUAAAUAUUGCAAAGUUAACUGAAAUAUAAUCAACAUAUGUGCGUCAGCAAUAUGAUUGAGAAUUUAGACUUAAGUCUAAAAAUAUUUCUGUAACUUUAUUCUGUAAUGGAGUAGUCUUCUGGCUUAGGGAAAUUCCCUAGAAGUUGGAAGGAUGUGCCAGUGAAGUGUUUCUGCAUACUCGCACCUCUCUUAUCCCUUAGCUAAUGGUUGAAGAUACAGGACUAGAUGCACAUUUGCUGUAACUCAGAAAAGCUCUUUUUUUAUUAGACUUUUACAUGCCACUGAUAUGUGCAUCUCCACUUUCCUCCCCGGUAGUUUAAUCAACUAGAUCAAGCCUUCAGAUGACAAGGCUCCUUAAAACUUCUGAUACCUCAGUAUGUUAUUUGAAUAAUUUAAUAUUUGACGUGAGUUGUUUUAAGGAUCAAUAGAAGUGUGAAUUUGUGACCUUAAUGUUUAUCAUAUCAAAAUAGAAAUGAAUUGCCAGUUCACUUGUUCGUUUUGACUAUUCUUCUAGAAUAUACUCUAUUGUUUUACUACCAUAAUUCUUUGACAACCCAUGUUCACUUUUAAAAAACAAUCUUGCUAAAGAAAAUAGAUGUAACGUUUCUCUCACCAGGCUGGCUAAUUAGGUGAAAUAAUUAAUUUCUGUUAUUUUUUGCUGAUUGUUUUUAAAAGUGGCAAGUCAUCAAGUGUGUAAAUCAUCAAAAUGUGUAAAUUUCAUUCUCUAGCAAGGGCCCUUACAACAUGCCACAACUGCCAGUAAUGUCCUAUAUUUCUAUGAUAACUGAUGAGUUUUUUCUAUAAAUACAUUGCCUAUGCCUAAUUGUAGAACAUAUUCCUAUUAAAGUCAA
This is a long non-coding RNA of Myiozetetes cayanensis, 2234 nucleotides long. RefSeq lists it as uncharacterized. Lineage: Eukaryota; Metazoa; Chordata; Aves; Passeriformes; Tyrannidae. The transcript is spliced from 6 exons. The record is from RefSeq and is a predicted model, not a curated record.